This 301-nucleotide ribosomal RNA is filed under the name uncultured bacterium. RNAcentral's name for it is "partial 16S ribosomal RNA". It matches the Rfam family "Bacterial small subunit ribosomal RNA", at positions 509 to 807 of the family's 1533-position model. The record is from RNAcentral.
CAGCCGCCGCGGGAAUACGGAGGGUGCAAGCGUUAAUCGGAAUUACUGGGCGUAAAGCGCACGCAGGCGGUUAUAUAAGACAGAUGUGAAAUCCCCGGGCUCAACCUGGGAACUGCAUUUGUGACUGUAUAGCUAGAGUACGGCAGAGGGGGAUGGAAUUCCGCGUGUAGCAGUGAAAUGCGUAGAUAUGCUGAGGAACACCGAUGGCGAAGGCAAUCCCCUGGGCCUGUACUGACGCUCAUGCACGAAAGCGUGGGGAGCAAACAGGAUUAGAUACCCGUGUAGUCCCUGUCUCUUAUAC